Molecule: ribosomal RNA, 500 nt
Filed under: uncultured bacterium
Lineage: Bacteria
Description: partial 16S ribosomal RNA
Rfam family: Bacterial small subunit ribosomal RNA
Source: RNAcentral
AUUGAACGCUGGCGGCAUGCCUUACACAUGCAAGUCGAACGGCAGCACGGGAGCAAUCCUGGUGGCGAGUGGCGAACGGGUGAGUAAAGUAUCGGAACGUGCCCAGUCGUGGGGGAUAACGUAGCGAAAGUUACGCUAAUACCGCAUACGAUCUAUGGACGAAAGCGGGGGAUCGCAAGACCUCGCGCGAUUGGAGCGGCCGAUAUCAGAUUAGGUAGUUGGUGGGGCAAAGGCUCACCAAGCCGACGAUCUGUAGCUGGCCUGAGAGGACGACCAGCCACACUGGGACUGAGACACGGCCCAGACUCCUACGGGAGGCAGCAGUGGGGAAUUUUGGACAAUGGGCCAAAGCCUGAUCCAGCCAUGCCGCGUGCAGGAUGAAGGCCUUCGGGUUGUAAACUGCUUUUGUACGGAACGAAAAGGUUUGGCCUAAUAAGCUGAGCUCAUGACGGUACCGUAAGAAUAAGCACCGGCUAACUACGUGCCAGCCGCCGCCGUAA